GUAGGGUGCGAGCGUUAAUCGGAAUUACUGGGCGUAAAGCGUGCGCAGGCGGUUCGUUAAGUUUGUCGUGAAAGCCCCGGGCUCAACCUGGGAAUGGCGAUGAGAACUGGCGAGCUGGAGUGUGGCAGAGGGGGGUGGAAUUCCAGGUGUAGCAGUGAAAUGCGUAGAGAUCUGGAGGAACACCGAUGGCGAAGGCAGCCCCCUGGGCUGACACUGACGCUCAGGCACGAAAGCGUGGGGAGCAAACAGGAUUAGAUACCCUGGUAGUCCACGCCCUAAACGAUGGCAACUGGGUGUUGGGGGAGCGAUUCCUCAGUACCGUAGCUAACGCGUGAAGUUGCCCGCCUGGGGAGUACGGCCGCUAGGCUA
This 369-nucleotide ribosomal RNA is filed under the name uncultured bacterium. RNAcentral describes it as "bacterial SSU rRNA". It matches the Rfam family "Bacterial small subunit ribosomal RNA", at positions 527 to 896 of the family's 1533-position model. The record is from RNAcentral.